GGUAAUACAUAGGUCGCAAGCGUUAUCCGGAAUUAUUGGGCGUAAAGCGUCCGUAGGUUUUUUGUUAAGUUUAAGGUUAAAUACUGAAGCUCAACUUCAGCCCGCUUUAGAUACUGGCAAAAUAGAAUUAUGAAGAGGUUAGCGGAAUUCCUAGUGUAGCGGUGGAAUGCGUAGAUAUUAGGAAGAACACCAAUAGGCGAAGGCAGCUAACUGGUCAUACAUUGACACUAAGGGACGAAAGCGUGGGGAGCAAACAGGAUUAGAUACCCUGGUAGUCCACGCUGUAAACGAUGAUCAUUAGUUGGUGGUAUUAAAUCACUAACACAGCUAACGCGUUAAAUGAUCCGCCUGAGUAGUAUGCUCGCAAGAGUGAAACUUAAAGGAAUUGACGGGAACCCGCACAAGCGGUGGAGCAUGUGGUUUAAUUUGAAGAUACGCGUAGAACCUUACCCACUCUUGACAUCCUUGCAAAGCUAUAGAGAUAUAGUGGAGGUUAACAAGAUGACAGAUGGUGCAUGGUUGUCGUCAGCUCGUGUCGUGAGAUGUUAGGUUAAGUCCUGCAACGAGCGCAA
This 572-nucleotide ribosomal RNA is filed under the name Mesomycoplasma conjunctivae. Its description in RNAcentral is "bacterial SSU rRNA". It matches the Rfam family "Bacterial small subunit ribosomal RNA", at positions 519 to 1101 of the family's 1533-position model. The record is from RNAcentral. Lineage: Bacteria; Bacillati; Mycoplasmatota; Mycoplasmoidales; Metamycoplasmataceae.